Molecule: ribosomal RNA, 475 nt
Filed under: uncultured bacterium
Lineage: Bacteria
Description: partial 16S ribosomal RNA
Rfam family: Bacterial small subunit ribosomal RNA
Source: RNAcentral
GAUGAACGCUGGCGGCGCGCCUAACACAUGCAAGUCGAACGGCACCCACCUCCGGGUGGAAGCGAGUGGCGAGCGGCUGAGUAACACGUGGAGAACCUGCCCCCUCCCCCGGGAUAGCCGCCCGAAAGGACGGGUAAUACCGGAUACCCCGGGGUGCCGCACGGCACCCCGGCUACAGCCCCGACGGGCGGGGAUGGCUCCGCGGCCCAUCAGGUAGACGGCGGGGUGACGGCCCACCGUGCCGACAACGGGUAGCCGGGUUGAGAGACCGACCGGCCAGAUUGGGACUGAGACACGGCCCAGACUCCUACGGGAGGCAGCAGUGGGGAAUCUUGCGCAAUGGGGGGAACCCUGACGCAGCGACGCCGCGUGCGGGACGGAGGCCUUCGGGUCGUAAACCGCUUUCAGCAGGGAAGAGAAGAGACUGUACCUGCAGAAGAAGCCCCGGCUAACUACGUGCCAGCCGCCGCAGUAA